RNAcentral lists this ribosomal RNA (1225 nucleotides) under Somethus castaneus. RNAcentral describes it as "eukaryotic LSU rRNA". It matches the Rfam family "Eukaryotic large subunit ribosomal RNA", at positions 86 to 902 of the family's 3401-position model. Lineage: Eukaryota; Metazoa; Arthropoda; Diplopoda; Polydesmida; Paradoxosomatidae. The record is from RNAcentral.
ACUGCGAGUGAAGAGGGAAAAGCCCAGCACCGAAGCCCCUGUCAUUUUGGCAGGGUGCAAUGUGGUGUUUGGGAGGGUCCAUUCGCGCCUUGAGCUCUGAUGUCCAAGUCCCCCUGACCGGGGCCAUCGCCCGUUGAGGGUGCAAGGCCUGUUGGGCAGGGCUGUGUCUCCGAUCUCGGCGCGUUGGGUCCCUUCCUAGGAGUCGGGUUGCUUGAGAGUGCAGCCCAAAGUGGGUGGUAAACUCCACCUAAGGCUAAAUAUUUUCCACGAGACCGAUAGCAAACAAGUACCGUGAGGGAAAGUUGCAAAGAACUUUGAAGAGAGAGUUCAAGAGUGCGUGAAACCGUUCGGAGGUAAACGGGUGGGAGCGCGAAGGUCGAACGGAUGGGGAGGGAUUCAACUUGGCGUGAUGGCGUCUCCCUGGCGCGCGGCUCGAGGUCCCCGGCGGUUUUGCCGUCGUGGGAAUUCCUUGGCUGCAGUGUUGGGAGUCAUGCCGGUCUCCGCCUUGUGCAUUUCCCUGUUCCCCCUCUCCUAGUAGGACGCCGUGACCGGCUGUUGAGGGGAGCCCAGGAGCUGGUGGGGGUAGCUGCGCGGAUGAGUGUGGGAUUCGCUCCCUGCGUCCGGUCUGUCUGCCCCCCGCCGACUGCGGGCGCUCUCCCCGGCCGAGGAAUGCUGAUGGCGGGAUGCGGGCCCUCGCGGUCCGCCCCGUCCAAGCACGUGCCCACCAAAAAUCUGAUGGGUGCGGGUCGAAAGAGCCCAACGGGUGGCGGCGAGCGGUUGCUGGCCAGCCUUGUGCUGUUCCAGUCUGACUGUCUCGCGUCUGCUGCUGUCUGCCAGGGCGCUGACUCCCGCAUCCACGGGCGCUGGGGGUCAACGGCGAGUAGGUCGGUUUCCCACCCGACCCGUCUUGAAACACGGACCAAGAAGUCUAACGUGUGGGCGAGUCUUCGGGGACCUUGUGAACCCUAUGAAGGCGCAAUAAAAGUGAAGGCUCUGUGCGCGCGCCCGCUCUCUCGGGGGCUGGGCUGCGUGCGCGGUGGCUGUAGUGGGAUCCCCGGUCUAAGGGCCGGGGCGCACCACUGGCCCGUCCUACGACCGCUUUGCCGGUCGGGCGGAGCAAGAGCCCACGCGUUGGGACCCGAAAGAUGGUGAACUAUGCCUGGGCAGGACGAGGCCAGAGGAAACUCUGGUGGAAGUCCGCAGCGGUUCUGACGUGCAAAUCGAU